UAUGAAAAAUGAUCAAAUGAUUUGGUCCCAAAUUAUACAUACUGAUUAUACUGUUGCAUUUAUUUCGGACAUU
Molecule: small nucleolar RNA, 73 nt
Organism: Jaculus jaculus (lesser Egyptian jerboa)
Lineage: Eukaryota; Metazoa; Chordata; Mammalia; Rodentia; Dipodidae
Product: small nucleolar RNA SNORD73
Exons: 1
Source: RefSeq, a predicted model, not a curated record